UGAGUACGAGCUGCUACGGCAGCGAAGUGGGUGAUGUCAAGCUUCCAAGAAAAGCCCUAGACCCGUUAAGGCAUGACGGCCUGUACCCGAAACCGACACAGGUGGGGUGGUAGAGAAUACCGAGGGGCGCGAGAUAACUCUCUCUAAGGAACUCGGCAAAAUGGCCCCGUAACUUCGGGAGAAGGGGUGCCACCGCAAGGUGGUCGCAGUGAAGAGGCCCAGGCGACUGUUUACCAAAAACACAGGUCUCCGCUAAGUCGCAAGACGAUGUAUGGGGGCUGACGCCUGCCCAGUGCCGGAAGGUUAAGGAAGCUGGUCAGCGCAAGCGAAGCUAGCGACUGAAGCCCCGGUGAACGGCGGCCGUAACUAUAACGGUCCUAAGGUAGCGAAAUUCCUUGUCGGGUAAGUUCCGACCCGCACGAAAGGCGUAACGAUCUGGGCGCUGUCUCGGAGAGAGGCUCGGCGAAAUAGAAUUGUCUGUGAAGAUGCGGACUACGUGCACCCGGACAGAAAGACCCUAUGAAGCUUUACUGUAGCUUGGUAUUGUGCCCGGGCUCUGAAUGCGCAGGAUAGGUGGGAGGCUUUGAUCCAUGGCUUGCGGGUCAUGGUGAGCCAACGGUGAGAUACCACUCUUUCAGAGCUAGGGUUCUAACAGCCACCCGUUAUCCGGGGGCUGGACAGUAUCAGGUGGGCAGUUUGACUGGGGCGGUCGCCUCCUAAAAGGUAACGGAGGCGCGCAAAGGUUUGCUCAGGCUGGUUGGAAAUCAGCCGACGAGUGUAAAAGCAGAAGCAAGCUUGACUGUGAGACCAACAAGUCGAACAGGGACGAAAGUCGGCUUUAGUGAUCCGACGGUUCUGAGUGGAAGGGCCGUCGCUCAACGGAUAAAAGUUACUCUAGGAUAACAGGCUGAUCUCCCCCAAGAGUUCACAUCGACGGGGAGGUUUGGCACCUCGAUGUCGGCUCAUCGCAACCUGGGGCUGAAGUCGGUCCCAAGGGUUGGGCUGUUCGCCCAUUAAAGCGGUACGCGAGCUGGGUUCAGAACGUCGUGAGACAGUUCGGUCCAUAUCCGGUGCAUGCGUAAGAACAUUGAGAGGAGUUCUCCCUAGUACGAGAGGACCGGGAGGAACGCACCUCUGGUGUACCAGUUAUCGUGCCAACGGUAAACGCUGGGUAGCCAUGUGCGGAGAGGAUAACCGCUGAAAGCAUCUAAGUGGGAAGCCCACCUCAAGAUGAGUGUUCUCAUGGCUUAAGCCAGUAAGGUCACGGGAAGAACACCCGUUGAUAGGCUCUACGUGGAAGCGCAGCAAUGUGUGAAGCGGAGGAGUACUAAUAGACCGAGGGCUUGAC
RNAcentral lists this ribosomal RNA (1348 nucleotides) under metagenome. RNAcentral describes it as "bacterial LSU rRNA". It matches the Rfam family "Bacterial large subunit ribosomal RNA", at positions 1564 to 2925 of the family's 2925-position model. The record is from RNAcentral.